RNAcentral lists this long non-coding RNA (260 nucleotides) under Mytilus galloprovincialis (Mediterranean mussel). The record is from RNAcentral. Lineage: Eukaryota; Metazoa; Mollusca; Bivalvia; Mytilida; Mytilidae.
GGCUUAUUUAUUUUUCAUUUUUGUUAUCUAUCAUACGAUUGGUUGUAUUUGUGCAUGUUUCAAACCGGAAAUCAUAUCUAUGACUAAAAGUCAGUUUGAUGACGGAAUCAAAUCCGGACUUCUUUUUUGUCGUUUUCCUCCCAAAAUAACUCAAUCUGAAUAAUUAUAAGAAUGGAUGACAAAUGCGACUUUGCAUGCUACCUAUAGGACACAGAGGCAUGAUGAUUGAUUUAUUGUGGAAGGAAGAGAAGCGACACACA